RNAcentral lists this unclassified non-coding RNA (223 nucleotides) under Hevea brasiliensis (rubber tree). The record is from RNAcentral. Lineage: Eukaryota; Viridiplantae; Streptophyta; Magnoliopsida; Malpighiales; Euphorbiaceae.
AUCGUUGGAGGGAAAAGAUCCACCAUGCAUUGAUAAUUGAUCAUAACUGACUCGUGAUUCACCAAAGUGAACAAAGAUAGGAGCAAGCAGCAACUUGACAAACAAUUCUGGCUUGGAUCCACCAUCUUUAGAUAAAUCAAGUGUCAACUCUUUGACCUCAACGGUAGCUUUUGGUGUCUUCACAACAACCUCAGUCACUGAAACCGACAAAAAUCUGGCCAUA